UAAUGUGAUUCAAGAUUGGGAAGAAUAUAAACACUUGCUUAUAGUAUGAAAAAGGAGAAUAUUAAUCAUCACAAUAUUUUAAUAAUCUGAUUAUCUUUCAAAUUUGCCAAACUGAGGCCAGACCGCCAUGAGGACUUACUGACACUUGUCUCCUCUCCCACUUUCCUUCCAGCAGUGGAUCCAGAAGGAAUGUCCCUGGUUACCUGGCUGGUGGCUGGACAACAGGGGAGGUGGAAGCACUGGUGACCACACAAUAAAAGAGGCAAACCAACAAGGACCAUAAGAUUGGUGAUAAUCCUAUGAAUUUGUUUCCUCGCUUGCAUGAGUAACAGCUGCAAUAUUUUUUUCAAUACCAAACUUAAUAAAAGCUGAGAUAGAAUACAAGAUCAGUAACAUUUUGUAAUGACUGCGGAAAUUCCAUAAUCUGAGU
Non-coding RNA from Microcebus murinus (gray mouse lemur), 430 nucleotides. The record is from RefSeq and is a predicted model, not a curated record. NCBI's taxonomy places the organism in Eukaryota, Metazoa, Chordata, Mammalia, Primates, Cheirogaleidae.